GUCGUCAGCUCGUGUCGUGAGAUGUUGGGUUAAGUCCCGCAACGAGCGCAACCCACGUUUUUAGUUGCCAGCAUUCAGUUGGGCACUCUAAAGAGACUGCCGGUGACAAACCGGAGGAAGGUGUGGACGACGUCAAGUCAUCAUGCCCCUUACGCCUUGGGCUACACACGUACUACAAUGCUGCGGACAAAGAGUAGCGAUCUUGCGAAAGUUAGCUAAUCUCGUAAACCGUGGCUCAGUUCAGAUCGUAGGCUGCAACUCGCCUACGUGAAGGAGGAAUCGCUAGUAAUCGCAGGUCAGCAUACUGCGGUGAAUACGUUCCCGGGCCUUGUACACACCGCCCGUCACACCAUGGAAGUUGGCCAUGCCCGAAGUCGUUACUCUAACCUUUUGGAAGAGGGCGCCGAAGGCAGGGCUAAUGACUGGGGUGAAGUCGUAACAAGGUAGCCGUAGCGGAAGCUGCGGCUGGAUCACCUCCUAA
Molecule: ribosomal RNA, 481 nt
Filed under: Cyanobacteria bacterium MAG CAR1_bin_15
Lineage: Bacteria; Bacillati; Cyanobacteriota
Description: bacterial SSU rRNA
Rfam family: Bacterial small subunit ribosomal RNA
Source: RNAcentral